AUGGUUGCAUCAAGGAUGGUGGUGGUGACGGCACCUGUGCAGUGUCUAAGAGCUGGGACCUUUGAGAUGGACUAGGCAUUGAACCCUUUGGCAAGAAGCUUUCCAGCCCAAAGCCCCUGGAACACUUGCUGCUGCCCAUACGUUGACGGUUGUCUUUGCUCAAGUUUUGAAGGAAAAGGUGAAAUGGAACAAGCGUACCCAGUUCAACAAACAUCUUGCCAAAAACCAGAAAUACUUAAGACAAUUAAAAACCAAAUACUUCCCUAUAAAGAAGAACUCUGUUGUUAUCAGAGUAAUAUUAUGCAAUUAACUGGGGACUGAACUGGGACCAAAGGGUUUUCUUUACACUAAGAAAGAGUUUGGGAACUUCCUAAACUGACAACUUUUGGUUUGUUGAGCAGGCAAAAUGGAGACAAAAUAAUUUCUAGUCACGUGGCUAAAGACUUCAGCUAUAGUGCCCUACCUACUCUGAAGAAUAAAUCCCUCUCCAGAGUCC
Alligator mississippiensis (American alligator) is the source of this 496-nucleotide long non-coding RNA. RefSeq lists it as uncharacterized. NCBI's taxonomy places the organism in Eukaryota, Metazoa, Chordata, Crocodylia, Alligatoridae. The record is from RefSeq and is a predicted model, not a curated record. The transcript is spliced from 2 exons.